UGAGAGCUGGGGGCACCAGCCAGGUGAGGCGGACAGGGGUAUCUCAGCUUGCCUGGCCCAGCCCCAACCUUUUCCUUGUGCCCUCAGGAGGCAGCGGCUAUUAUUGCCCAGCGGCCUGACAACCCAAGGGAGUUCUUCAAGCAGCAGGAAAGAGUCGCAUCGGCCUCUGCGGGCAGCUGUGAUGUACCCUCGCCCUUCAACCAUCGACCAGGCAGCCACCUGGACAGCCACCGGAGGAUGGCGCCCACUCCCAUCCCCACGCGGAGCCCGUCUGACUCCAGCACCGCCUCCACCCCUGUCGCUGAGCAGAUAGAGCGGGCCCUGGAUGAGGUCACAUCCUCGCAGCCUCCACCACUGCCACCGCCACCCCCACCAGCCCAAGAGACCCAGGAGCCCAGCCCCAUCCUAGACAGUGAGGAGACCAGAGCAGCAGCCCCUCAGGCCUGGGCCGGCCCCAUGGAGGAGCCCCCUCAGGCACAGGCGCCUCCCCGGGGGCCAGGCAGCCCUGCAGAGGACUUGAUGUUCAUGGAGUCUGCAGAGCAGGCUGUCCUGGCUGCUCCCGUGGAGCCUGCCACAGCUGACGCCACGGAGGUCCACGAUGCAGCUGACGCCAUUGAAACUGACACUGCCACUGCUGACACCACUGUUGCCAACAACGUACCCCCCACCGCCACCAGCCUCAUUGACCUAUGGCCUGGCAACGGGGAAGGGGCCUCCACACUCCAGGGUGAGCCCAGGGCCCCCACGCCACCCUCGGGUACUGAGGUCACCCUGGCAGAGGUGCCCCUGCUGG
RNAcentral lists this small RNA (793 nucleotides) under Pan troglodytes (chimpanzee). RNAcentral's name for it is "retained intron". The record is from RNAcentral. Lineage: Eukaryota; Metazoa; Chordata; Mammalia; Primates; Hominidae.